UUCUGAUGUCAAGACGGACAAAGGAUUAUACAAAUUAAGACUCUGCCGUCCCUCAUGAACACACACAACAGUGCCCAAGCAGAAAUGCCAGCAAAGUAAAUUCCGGUUGGCACAUGCCCUCUGCAGGUGGGGCACAUUCCACAAUCGGACAAAUCUGGUGGCUGACCCUCCAACAAAAGCCAGGACUUUUCACCAGAGCUGGCUGACACUGUGACCCCAGCUGCAGGAAAAAUGCCUGGAGGAUUUCCAACACUGCGAUC
Mesocricetus auratus (golden hamster) is the source of this 260-nucleotide long non-coding RNA. RefSeq lists it as uncharacterized. The transcript has 2 exons. NCBI's taxonomy places the organism in Eukaryota, Metazoa, Chordata, Mammalia, Rodentia, Cricetidae. The record is from RefSeq and is a predicted model, not a curated record.